Non-coding RNA from Arachis ipaensis, 1953 nucleotides. The record is from RefSeq and is a predicted model, not a curated record. NCBI's taxonomy places the organism in Eukaryota, Viridiplantae, Streptophyta, Magnoliopsida, Fabales, Fabaceae.
UCACUCUCUCACUCUUUUCCUCUUCAUUGUUGUGACAUCUCACCUCUAUCAUGUCUGUCGUCCGCCGUUCGCCAUCAAUCAAUCACCUGUGCGCAUGUCGCUCCCUACUCUCUGUUCUGCUUUUCCUCCUCGCAUUCUUUAUUGAAUUUGUUCUGUUCGAUUUCACUUCAAGUGGAGCAUAUGCCGUCUUCUGUGCUGCCGUUGUUUGUUGCGUUGCCGGUUGCUAGCGUUUCUCAAUUCUUCUGUCGUCCGCUGCGUUUUCAUCUUCUGUUCACGCAUUGCCGCCGCUGUCUGACUGCACAAUAGUGACAACACAACUACCUGGGACUUCUUCUCCAUUCAGGAUCAUCAAGGUUUCUUCUACCACAUCAUCAGCGAUUCAAGAUUGUUCGAGCUUUCUCUGGUCCUAGUCACGGUGGAAUUGGUCACAAAUUAUUUCUUCCUUAAUAAUUAGGCAUAUUAUUGUUGUUAUUAUCAUUAUUACUAUUAAUUAUUUUACAUCCAAAUAAUAUGUGGUUUAUGUAAUGAUAUUACACUCUUAGAGAAUUGCUUGUAUAUAUGUUUAUAUAUGAAACGCUUUUAAUGCGUUACAAGUUAUAUAUGAUGAAUUGUAUAUAUGAUUUUCUUGUUUUAUUGUGUGAGAUUAUUGUUUUUUUUAGAAUUUGGUGCAGAAGAUCUCAAGCACUGUUUCUACUUCUUAGCAAGAACCUAAGAGAGAAUUACUCAAUUAAAAUUGAGCUAAACUGUUUAAUUAGCCAUCAUCCCUUAGCUUUUAUGUUUGGUGAAAAAUAUCUACAUUAUUAUCCAUUCUCUUAUUUUUUCAAUAUUACAAGAAAAGUUGAUUUUAGUAGCCAUAAUUAUUGCUGGUAUUUUUCUUAUUUAAUAUUUUUACUUGUAUUUUUUGUGCACAUAGGAGGUAAAUCUCUUGUGCAUUUCACUAGAGAAAGAAAAAAAGAGAAAAGGUUAAGCAAAAAAUAAAUGUCUAAUCGCCAAAAUUAAAUUAUAUUAAGCUAAGUCAGAAGAUAAAGGUGAUUUAUUUCCAUUUGCAUGCAUGUUAAUUUCUUCACUCUUUCUUCAACUUUCUGCGAUACCAUUUUUGGUUAAAUGAAGAAAGAAGUCUUUGAUCUCUACUGCUGUAAAUUAAUGGUUCACAAAGUUUCUUGGAGUCAAAGCACAUUAUUAACGGUUCGGAUUUGGGUUUACCACUAAACAACUUUCUCUUUGCUAUUCAAAUGUCUUCGGUCAAGCAAAAAGAACCAGUUUUAAAAUCCCUAAUUUUGGAGUUAAUUGAAGAAAGUGAAAUAACAAGUUUGGGGAAGCACAUAGCUCGAGGAGUUGACUUGGAAGAAAGUAAAUCAGCAACAUGAAAAGAGAUACAAAAAGAAAAAUUUUCAUCUUUUUGAAGACAAAGAGAAAGAACCAGAGUCUGAGUUUCAAAGAGAGCUUCCUGAGAAAGUUCAACAUUUUAGACAGUGUGUUCUAGAGAAAGAAGCAUUCCGCCAAGAUGAAGAAUCCGAUUAGUGAUAGCUCAAUCCGAUUCAUCUUAUAACAACAGAGGUUGUUGAAGCAUUAAUCUCCUUCAUGUUUUAUAGAUUGUAAUUUCAAUUUUAAUGUAUAUUUUUCUGUAAUUUCUUGAGUGGAAAAAUGUUGAAACAGAGAGAGUUUAAGAAAAAGCCAAAAAGUGACAAAAGGCUGGGUGAUACACUUGAGUGAAAUGCCUAGAGUGAUUUCAGAUUUCUUUAGAUUGUUUCAUAUGUCUUAUAUCUUGUAUCUGUGAGAUAUCCCUUUCUAAGUUAGGUUAGCACUUGGAGUGGAGAGUUAGGUAUUAGCAUAACUAAGUCAAGUUAUGAUAAAACUUGAGAGGGAAAGGAUUGUGUCAAUUCUGUGAAAUUGGUGUAUGUAAUACUUCAACUAUAGUGAAAAUUCCACAACUGUUGUGGUGGGGAUUAGAUA